CCUACGGGUGGCUGCAGUGGGGGAUAUUGCGCAAUGGGCGAAAGCCUGACGCAGCGACGCCGCGUGGGUGAUGAAGGCCUUCGGGUCGUAAAGCCCUGUCGAGGGGGACGAAGGAGUUCCGACCUAACACGUCGGGGCCCGGACGGUACCCCUAAAGGAAGCACCGGCUAACUCCGUGCCAGCAGCCGCGGUAAUACGGAGGGUGCGAGCGUUGUUCGGAAUCACUGGGCGUAAAGCGCGUGUAGGCGGUCCGCUAAGUCUGGUGUGAAAGCCCG
Molecule: ribosomal RNA, 275 nt
Filed under: uncultured bacterium
Lineage: Bacteria
Description: partial 16S ribosomal RNA
Rfam family: Bacterial small subunit ribosomal RNA
Source: RNAcentral